GUUCCUGUAGCACAAUGGAUAGCGCGUUGAACUUCUAAUCCAAAGGUCGUGGGUUCGAAUCCCGUCUGAAAUG
Molecule: transfer RNA, 73 nt
Filed under: Trichonephila inaurata madagascariensis
Lineage: Eukaryota; Metazoa; Arthropoda; Arachnida; Araneae; Nephilidae
Rfam family: tRNA
About the family: Transfer RNA (tRNA) molecules are approximately 80 nucleotides in length. Their secondary structure includes four short double-helical elements and three loops (D, anti-codon, and T loops). Further hydrogen bonds mediate the characteristic L-shaped molecular structure. tRNAs have two regions of fundamental functional importance: the anti-codon, which is responsible for specific mRNA codon recognition, and the 3' end, to which the tRNAs corresponding amino acid is attached (by aminoacyl-tRNA synthetases). tRNAs cope with the degeneracy of the genetic code in two manners: having more than one tRNA (with a specific anti-codon) for a particular amino acid; and 'wobble' base-pairing, i.e. permitting non-standard base-pairing at the 3rd anti-codon position.
Source: Rfam by way of RNAcentral